Molecule: non-coding RNA, 551 nt
Organism: Lonchura striata (white-rumped munia)
Lineage: Eukaryota; Metazoa; Chordata; Aves; Passeriformes; Estrildidae
Source: RefSeq, a predicted model, not a curated record
AAGGAUUGGUCCCUAGAGCCCGCGUGGAGGCUCGCCCUGCAGCGCGCGCACCCGCCGAGCGUUUCCCCGGGGAGACCGAAACAACCGCAUGAGCACCGGCUCGGACUUUGUUUGAUUCGUUCCUGGGAACUAAGCUACACUAGUCUCUAAAUGUUUGCAAAACAAAAAUCCGUAAUAAAGUACUUUAAAUCAGGGAUGUUGGAGCAGAAAGAAAAAGAGAAUGCAUGCAGGAGAACAAGGACUUGAUUUCCUGGUGUAAGAAGCCUCAUCACUGAACAGUAUUACAUUCACACAGAAUGGCUUGUUUUUAUUUCAUCCAGAGGUGGUGUCAUCUCUAAAAGUGAAAAUAAUGUUCUUUCAGCUCGCAUUAUUAUAUCUUACAAAAAUAUUAAAUGUGUUAACUCCACCAUGAACUUAAGUGUAUGCAGUAGCUGUCAGUGGAGAUACUUAAGCUGGUCAAACCUACAACAGCAUAAACAGCACCUCCCAAGCUGUGGACAACACACAACUCAUUUCUAGGACCAUUAUAUAUAUUAAAUAAUAUAAAAGUA